Molecule: ribosomal RNA, 253 nt
Filed under: uncultured prokaryote
Description: partial 16S ribosomal RNA
Rfam family: Bacterial small subunit ribosomal RNA
Source: RNAcentral
ACGGAGGGGGCUAGCGUUGUUCGGAAUUACUGGGCGUAAAGCGCACGUAGGCGGCUUUGUAAGUCAGAGGUGAAAGCCCGGAGCUUAACUCCGGAAUUGCCUUUGAGACUGCAUCGCUUGAAUCCAGGAGAGGUGAGUGGAAUUCCGAGUGUAGAGGUGAAAUUCGUAGAUAUUCGGAAGAACACCAGUGGCGAAGGCGACUUACUGGACACAUAUUGACGCUGAGGUGCGAAAGCGUGGGGAGCAAACAGGA